GGGACACGUGGUAUCCUGUCUGAAUAUGGGGGGACCAUCCUCCAAGGCUAAAUACUCCUGACUGACCGAUAGUGAACCAGUACCGUGAGGGAAAGGCGAAAAGAACCCCGGCGAGGGGAGUGAAAAAGAACCUGAAACCGUGUACGUACAAGCAGUGGGAGCACCCUUCGGGGUGUGACUGCGUACCUUUUGUAUAAUGGGUCAGCGACUUAUAUUCUGUAGCAAGGUUAACCGAAUAGGGGAGCCGGAGGGAAACCGAGUCUUAAUUGGGCGUUAAGUUGCAGGGUAUAGACCCGAAACCCGGUGAUCUAGCCAUGGGCAGGUUGAAGGUUGGGUAACACUAACUGGAGGACCGAACCGACUAAUGUUGAAAAAUUAGCGGAUGACCUGUGGCUGGGGGUGAAAGGCCAAUCAAACCGGGAGAUAGCUGGUUCUCCCCGAAAGCUAUUUAGGUAGCGCCUCGUGAAUUCAUCUCCGGGGGUAGAGCACUGUUUCGGCUAGGGGGCCAUCCCGGCUUACCAACCCGAUGCAAACUGCGAAUACCGGAGAAUGCUAUCACGGGAGACACACGGCGGGUGCUAACGUCCGUCGUGAAGAGGGAAACAACCCAGACCGCCAGCUAAGGUCCCAAAGUCAUGGUUAAGUGGGAAACGAUGUGGGAAGGCCCAGACAGCCAGGAUGUUGGCUUAGAAGCAGCCAUCAUUUAAAGAAAGCGUAAUAGCUCACUGGUCGAGUCGGCCUGCGCGGAAGAUGUAACGGGGCUAAACCAU
Molecule: ribosomal RNA, 770 nt
Filed under: Salmonella enterica subsp. enterica serovar Stanley
Lineage: Bacteria; Pseudomonadati; Pseudomonadota; Gammaproteobacteria; Enterobacterales; Enterobacteriaceae
Description: partial 23S ribosomal RNA
Rfam family: Bacterial large subunit ribosomal RNA
Source: RNAcentral